This 414-nucleotide ribosomal RNA is filed under the name Rhipicephalus haemaphysaloides. RNAcentral describes it as "partial large subunit ribosomal RNA". The record is from RNAcentral. Lineage: Eukaryota; Metazoa; Arthropoda; Arachnida; Ixodida; Ixodidae.
GGUUUUUAAAUUGCUGUGGUAUUUUGACUAUACAAAGGUAUUGAAAUAAGAUUUUAAUUGAAUGCUAAGAGAAUGGAAUUACAGAAAAUAGCUUUUUUUAGAUUAAAAAUUGAAAUUUUUUUAAUUUGUGCAGAAACAAUUAUUAAUAUUAAGGACAAGAAGACCCUAUGAAUUUAUAAAUUUAUGUUAUAGUAAUUAAUAUAAAAUAAAUUUUGGUUGGGGCGACAAAAAAAAAUAAAAAACUUUUUUUUUAUAAAAUGAUCCAUUAUUAAUGAUUAUAUGAAAAAUACUCUAGGGAUAACAGCGUUAUAUUUUUUGAUAGCUCAUAUUGACAAAAAAGUUUGCGACCUCGAUGUUGGAUUAGGAUACUUUUUUAAUGAAGAUAUAAAAAAAGAAGUUGUGGAGCGGAAGCCC